This 253-nucleotide ribosomal RNA is filed under the name uncultured bacterium. RNAcentral describes it as "partial 16S ribosomal RNA". It matches the Rfam family "Bacterial small subunit ribosomal RNA", at positions 524 to 776 of the family's 1533-position model. The record is from RNAcentral.
UACGAAGGGUGCAAGCGUUACUCGGAAUUACUGGGCGUAAAGCGUGCGUAGGCGGUUCGUUAAGUCUGAUGUGAAAGCCCUGGGCUCAACCUGGGAAUGGCAUUGGAAACUGGCGACCUAGAGUGCGGUAGAGGGUAGUGGAAUUCCCGGUGUAGCAGUGAAAUGCGUAGAUAUCGGGAGGAACACCGGUGGCGAAGGCGGCGACCUGGGUAGAUACUGACGCUGAGGUGCGAAAGCGUGGGGAGCAAACAGG